RNAcentral lists this long non-coding RNA (15326 nucleotides) under Malus domestica (apple). RNAcentral's name for it is "long non-coding RNA (MDOM_LNC001001)". Lineage: Eukaryota; Viridiplantae; Streptophyta; Magnoliopsida; Rosales; Rosaceae. The record is from RNAcentral.
UUUUUUUUUGUAGGGUAAAAAGGAUGCAAGUGGAUUGUACGAUAAGCCUUUUCCGCACUACCACAGUUUGGGAGAGAUUUAUGCAAAAGAUCGUGCUAUGGGUGCAAAUGCUGGUAACGCUGAUGACGAUGAAGAAGAAGUUAGACUUGAAGAUGCCAAUGUCAAUCAACAUGAAGGUGAGGAUGAAAGUGGAAAUGACUUUGAUACUUCUUUCUCAGUACCAAAUACCCAACAAGAAAGGAAUGCAGAAAGUAACACAUCAAACAUUAGUCGCAAAAGGACAAGAGUAGCGGAUGAAAUGGCCAAGCAAUUCUCUAUUAUGGCUAAAGCUAUUGCCGAUGUGGGACCUAAGAUUGAUGGUCUAGUUCAUGCACUGUCAACCGAUAUAAAUCUGACCGAAAUGCAACAAAAAACUUGACAGUGAGUUGACCAAAAUGGAGUUUUUGUCUCCCAUGGAUUUAUUUAAAGUCACUAACUUCUUGGCCAAAGAACAUGACCUUUUGAGGGUGUUUUUCAACAUGUCUGAUGAAAGGAAGAGUGCAUAUGUGACUACUUUGUUGCAGACUUGGAUUCAUAACGACAUCUAAGUGAUGGUCCAAAUAAUGUGAAUGCUAGUUUUUUGCUAUGACGUGCUUACUGCCAUAAUGACAUAUCAGGGAAAAUUGUGAAUGUUUUGUAAAUCUAAUGACUUAUUAGAUGACACCAUAAUGGUGAAGAACUACUUUUUGUUGGUAUUAUGAUGUUUAGGCAGGUUAAGAAUAUUUUGUUGACAAUCUGAUGUGUAGGCAGGUUAUGAAUAUUUGAUAAUAUGAUGCAUACGCAGGGUAUGACAAGUUUGCUUAGGUUGGUUAUGGUGGUUAGAUAGAUGUACUUUAAUGUAAAAUAUUAACUUUAAUGAAGUUAUUUCCUACUCUUUGUUUGUUACUAAUAUUUUUUUCUUCAUUUAUUUACUAUUAUACAAAAUUCACCUCUUGAAGAUCACUUUAGUUCAAGGGGAAUCAAGUUUUUUGAUUUGAAAUGGUAAAACAAAAUUUCUUCUACUCCUUGACAUUAUGUAGCAAAAAUAUAUCUUUGAAGAGUUAAGACUGAAAAUGCUCCUAACAAUUUCUUUCCAUGUCCUUCUUGCUCAUUAAGCAUAAUUCUAUGCUCAUUCACAUUAUGCACAACCAGUGGCGGAGCCAGGAAUCUUACCACAAGGGGUCGUAGUGUAAAAGUCCAGAAAAAAAAUUUAGGAUGGAAAUGUUAAAGUUAAUGCUUUACUUAAACUGAUUAUGUGUAAAAGGGCUGACUGUUGCCUUUAUUAGUCGACCCAUUCUAUUUAUCAGUCGACCCAUUCUAUUUAUCAGUCGACCCAAUUACUUCAGUCGGCUUAUGUAUUGAACUAGGGCUGACUGUUGCCUUUAUCAGUCGACCCAUUCUAUUUAUCAGUCGACCCAUUCUAUUUAUCAGUCGACCCAAUUACUUCAGUCGGCUUAUGUAUUGAACUAAUUCUGUGUAAAAGGGCUGACUGUUGCCUUUAUCAGUCGACCCAUUCUAUUUAUCAGUCGACCCAUUCUAUUUAUCAGUCGACCCAUUCUAUUUAUCGACCCAUUCUAUUUAUCAGUCGACCCAUUUUAUUUAUCAGUCGACCUAGAGUAAAUUCAAUCGAUCUAAAGUAACUCCUAAAUACAUGCAGAAUCAGUUUGUUACUCAAUACAUAAUCAGUUUGUUACUUCAUGCAGAAUCAGUUUGUUACUCAAUGCAGAAUCAAUUUGUUACUUCAUGCAGAAUCAGUUUGUUACUCAAUGCAAAAUCAGUUUGUUACUAUUAUAUACUAUAUCAAAAAAUAUUAAAAAAAAGUAUAUAAAUAUUUUGAUUUGGGACAAGGGCAUUUUAGUAAUCAUACUGGUUUAUAUUCCGAUUCUGCUGAAUUAGUAAACAGCUUUAUGGAAUUGUAUUCCGAUUCCAGACAGUUUUAGUAAACAAUUUCAACAAGAAUCUGAUUCUGAUUCCACCUCAUUUCAAUUCAUCCUCAAUCAAAUUCCUCCUCAAUCCGAUUCCUCUCAAUUUGAUUACGGAUUAGUAAACGCGCCAUAAUAGUGGCCAAUACAUGCAACUUCAACAAAUACAAGUACAUAAGAUCUCCAUAAUUUAGAAAAUCCUAGUUAACAUUAGUUAACAUUAGCCAAAAUAGAUCUCUAUAAUUUACAAAAUGGCUAGUUAACAUAAGCCAAAAUACUAGUGCAAAGCUAAGUUAUAAGUCAUAACAUAAGAUUGUAUGAUUAAUAAAAUACAUCCAUGUUAACGUUAAUAAAAUACAUCCAUGUUAACAUUAGCCAAAAUCCUCAUCCGCUUGCGUUGUCGCUUAAAAGCCUUUGGACGAACACUUUCUUGAGUUCCGGUUUGAUUGCCCUGAACACUCCCACAUUUUUUGGUUUAUCCAAAAUAAAAGACAAUGCAUCAAUUUGAUCCAUAGGAGAGAGACCCAUUGCUUCAAGUUCAUUAGCUAUGUCAGUAUGAUCUGCAGUACCUUGAACUAAAGCUUCAGUUACCAUUUGCAUCCUCUUCCCACUUUCAAAUAUACAGGUGGCGUUGAACCCGAGGCAACAAAUAUACAGGUGGCGUUGAAAAAAAAAAAGUUUUCAUUAACCCGAGGCAACAAAUAUACAGGUGGCGUUGAAAAAAAAAACUUUUCAUUAACCCGAGGCAACAAAUAUACAGGUGGCGUUGAAAAAAAAAAGUUUUCAUUAACCCGAGGCAUCAUAUUCAAAAUGUUCUACUCUUAUACAUCUAUAAACAUGUGUCUAAGAACACUAGUAUGAGGAUUGCUAUCAUUGCUAGGCAUUGCAUGUGAAAAGGGAAAUUAAAGGACACCUGUAAUGCAGUAGCCUUAGCCUUAGCCUUCCGUUUAUGCUCCUCUUCUCUGCAACCAACAACCACAACAAAUUGCAAUUCAGCAUCAACCCCACACAAUACAAAACAUUCACAUUGUAUACACACUGCAUACAUACACACACUGCAAACACAGUACAUACAUACACACACUACAUACACUGCAUACACUACACACACACUACAUACACUACACACACACACUGCAUACAUACACACUGCAAACACAGUACAUACAUACACACACUCACAUACACUACACACACACACUACAUACACUACACACACACACCCUGCAAGUACACACACAUGCAUGCAUACAUACAUACACACACUGCAUACACCCUGCAUACACCCUGCAUACAUACACACUGCAUACACAGUACACAAACACACACACUGUAUACACCUUGCACACACAGUACACAAACACACACACACUACAUACACUACACACACACACUGCAUACACUACACACACACCCUGCAAGUACACACACAGUGCAUACAUACAUACACACCAUGCAUACACCCUGCAUACAUACACACUGCAUACACAGUACACAAACACACACACUGCAUACACCUUGCACACACAGUACACACACACUGCACACACACACACUGCAUACACACUCAUUCACACACACACUGCACACACACACACUGCACACACACUCACACUCACACUCACACUCACUCACACUCACUACAUACACUACACACACACACUGCAUACAUACACACUGCAAACACAGUACACUACACACACUACAUACACUGCAUACACUACACACAUACACACUUAUUCACACACACACUGCACACACACACACUGCUUACACACUGCACACACACUCACACUCACACUCACUCACACUCACUACAUACACUACACACACACACUGCAUACAUACACACUGCAAACACAGUACACUACACACACUACAUACACUUCAUACACUACACCCUGCAUACAUACACUACACACACACUGCAUACAUACACACUGCAAACACAGUACACUACACACACACACACUACAUACACUACACACACACACACUGCAUACACUACACACACACCCUGCAAGUACACACACACUGCAUACACCCUGCAUACAUACACACUGCAAACACAGUACAUACAUACACACACUACAUACACUGCAUACACUACACACACACUACAUACACUACACACACACACUGCAUACAUACACACUGCAAACACAGUACAUACAUACACACACUACAUACACUACACACACACACACACACUACAUACACUACACACACACACUGCAUACACUACACACACACCCUGCAAUACACACACAGUGCAUACAUACAGACACACACUGCAUACACCCUGCAUACACCCUGCAUACAUACACACUGCAUACACAGUACACAAACACACACUGUAUACACCUUGCACACACAGUACACAAAUGACACCGUAAUCUUAUAUUAUUACAUACGAAUCGAAUAAAUUCAAGAUACAAGAUCUUUGGACCAAUUUUAUGAAUCAAUAUUCUGUUAAACGUCCUUGAUUCGGUAUCAAUUUCCUAAGACACAUAAAGCAGAAUAAUAGAGCAACAGAGUAAAACCAGAACUCAAACUAAUCAAUCGUGCCUCAAGAAGAUCUCCCUAUUUAGAUCAUAUCACCAGAUUCACCACAUCCAUUUCUACCAAAUAUCACGAUGCAGACUAUCCGUUCCAAACCAUUAACGUAAUCCGAAUGAAACACUCAAAACCAAGAGCGAUGCACACAUCUAAACAUAAAGUUGAUAAAAAUCUCAACAUUAAAGAACCAUUUCAACUAUAUUGGCAUAGAAGAAAAACCAAACGUCUGUGUGUGUGUAUACAUAUGCAACUCAACCACUACAUUCCUCAUCGAAACUUUUGAUUCGUUUAUAAAAUUAAACAAACAACAAUUACCAAAAUCAAAUUAAUCCGAAUUCCAACUAAUAAACAACCUAAUCAAAUCAUACAUCGAUCAAGCAAACCAAUCAAAUCUCCACAAUUUCCAUCAAUAAUUUUCAAUCAAUGGAUUUGAUUAGAUCCAAUAAAUACCUAAACAGAUCCAACGAUGAUAUUGUUGAUGGGGAUGAAGAUCAGCUUGACGAAGAACCCGACGAAACCCAUCACGACGAACCCGAUCGCUGUCCGGAGCGCGACCUUGGAGAAUUCUACACGACAAUCAACCAUCAAAUCUCAUCAAUUACACAUGCAUAUCAAAGAAUAUAACUUGUGAGAAAACACAGAUCCGACCCGAAUGCUGAAUUACCUUUGCGAUCGGGCUUGUGACAGCGCUUGACGAGGCGAAUGCUGUCCUUGGAGAACUCUCGGAGCAGAUCUGUUACGUGAAGACGAGGGAGCGGACGACGAGAGGAACAGAUGAGGAGCAGGAUGCAGAUGAGGGCGACCAGGAUGCAGCUGACGGCGAGCAGGACGCAGAGAUGAGGAUGAGGAGGACGACGUGAGGGAGGAGGUCUUACGAAUCCGGACGUUUUUGGGGUGGUUCGCUAAGAACUGCUAGCGAAGGGUUUAAUCCGUGCGAGUCGGAUCUAAUCCCAUUAAACGUAAUCCUUGCCCCUACCAAACAUCAGACUACAAUACCAAUUAGUGUAGUCUAGUCCAGUCCCCCCUAAGAAGGUCAAACAAACACGCCCUAAGGGUAAUAUUAGGAAGACCAAAUUCUCAAACCAAAUUUUGUUAACCAAAUGAUGUGAUUAUUGAUGAUUGAAUUAUUACUAAAAUUCUGAUUAACCUAUUUACUUUGUAUUUGUGACAUAUCAUUUGGUUUACAAAUUUAAUUAAAAAUUAUUAUCCUCCUCGCAUUAUCCUUAACCUAAGUAUCGUGGCUCAUUUUCAUCCCAAACAUAUCUUUCCAAUCCUCUAGAAGUCAUCAAAAACAAAAUCACUUACUUUCCCAUCAAAAAGGAAAAGUAGUCGGGAAACUUAUCAACCACUCACAAAUGGCCAAUCCAUCGAUGGCUUCAACCUUUGUUUUCUAUUGAAACAAUCCUCAUCAUAAUAUAUUAAACAGAAGUUAUAAUUUUGUAAAUAGACAACGUAAAAAAUAAAAACCACAACAACUUAGUCACUAGUUUCUCAACCGUCGAAUCAGACCUUUACUUAGAAGGGAAUUGGAUCCUCUCUUGAGCAGGAGAUUAGGAUCUUCCUGACCCACUAACACAGGUCGUUGAAUCAAAAUCUAACGGCUACAAUUAUCAUAACUUUUAAAAAUACCUCAUGUUUAUAACCGUUGAAUCAAAAUUCAACAGUCCGCGUUAUUGGAUCAAGAGGAUCCUGAUCUCCUGCUCAGGAGAGGAUCCAAUUCCACUUAGAAGUGGCACAUAUGCAAUACAACUACAAGACAUAUAUUUUAGGGAUUAUUGAUGGACCACACAUGUAUUGUUGGCAGGUUGUCUCUGCAUGCUCACUGCUGACCGAUUCCUUCCUAAUAUUUGACUUGGAAACCACGAUAUAUUAUAGCUUGCUGUCUUCUGGAAGUAAUAUAAUAUUGAUAAAAUAAAAUGUUAGCAUCAACUAGGAGGAAUGCUGUGCAUGCAGACAUACCUGAUGUGGACGAGUGAAAGUACCAAGAAGAUGGGAUUACCGGCUUGCUCACCAAUGCAUGCAGGCAUAUCUUAGACUAGGCUUGGUCACCAAGAUAUCUAUGGCUUCUACGCACAUUGCUUCUCAGUGUGCAUCAAUGUGCAUGCAUGGACCACACCUGCUAGAAGCCUAGAAUGUAUAUAUUAGGAAUUUAGGAUUUAUAAAUGAUUUUGUUGUUGAAAUGUUUUGAUAUCCUAAUAAACCUCUAAAUUUAACGGAAAAAUAGAUAGAGUUAGUGAAAAGGAUCAAUAUAUGGAACAACAUACAGUUAAGUUUGAAAACUAAAGAAACUAAUAUGAGAGUUCAAGAACUAAAAUUAAAUUAGGGAUAAAAUUCAAGAACCAUUGCUACAAUUAAGCUCAAAAUUCCCAUAUAUGUUUUAUACAUUGAAAGAGAUAUUGGCCUAGAAAGAAGGGGAGUCGAUCACAAAAUUUUGAGUACUUGAAUAAAUUCGUUUAACCAAUUGACAUACAAACCCCUUGUAUUUAAAGAACAUAUAUGUCACAUGAGUAACGCUAGGGAGACCAAAUUUCUAAACAAAAUUUUGUAAACCAAAUAAUGUGGAUGUUGAUGAUUUGAUUACUACUUAAGUGUUGAUUAACGUGACACGUCAUUUGGUUUGCAAGAUCUUGCGCGACGAACAAAACGUCGCGCAAAAGGACUUUGCGUGACGUAGACAGGCGUCGCGCAAAACAACUUUGCGCGACGCUGAAGUUUCUACGUCGCGCAAAGAUAUUUUGCGCGACGUUUUGUGUUUUGCGUCGCGCAAACAUACUUUGCACAACGAAAUUUACUCCGUCGCGCAAGAUUUCGUCACGCAAACGUGUUUUUCUACUAGUGCUCAUUUGUACAUGUAAUAUCAGUUUCCUUACCAUAUAAUAUGAACCCUAACUUAGACUGCGUUUCAAAACAACGUUUGAAGCGACUGAAGUACUAGCAAGAAUACCUUGAAGACCACGCAAUGAAGGGAUAAGUUAACCAGUAAACAAGUUAACCAAGAAAUAAUUAAACUGUUAGCAAACGGCUUCACUGGGAUACGAUGCUGCUUAAUCAAAGUUAAUUUGAUUCCUAAACUUGACUAGUCUAUAUUCUUUCUGAUUAGUAGUUUUCUGGACUUCCUAUGCAUAAGGACAACAAGGACGAAUCCGACGCAAAUUUGUUUGACGAUAUAAGAUGUUACGACUUAUUUGGACUUUAAGAGUUGAACGCAAUAACUAGCUUUUGCUUUUUGAUCAACACAACAACACGUCUUUGAAGCCUCUUCAUACAUUCACACAAUUUGUCGUAUCUUCUUGAACUAUUAAACCAAAAGGAACCAAUUGAGCUUUCUUUCUAACAACGAAAUUUGAAAAGAAAAAAAAAAACAACGAGAUUAUUGUAAUAUUUUUGAACCUUCAUUCCUCUUAAUAAUAAUAAAUUUUAAAAAAACAACAAAACUUAUUUUAGCGUCAUGACUACAUUCUCACGUAGUAUUACUAAUUUCAAUUAAUAUAAGCUGACAGCAUAAUUGGUAAUUAAUAGACUUUGAGUAUAAUUUAUUAAUAAAUACACAUGUUAUAAGAUGAAUCGUUACUGUGUAAUACCACAUGACGGUAUGAUUGUCACCCAACGCACUAGAGUAAAUUCAAAAAGUUUGUUUUUCCCCUUCCUAAGACCUACUCUAACCCUUGAAGUAAAACUCAAAUUUUAGGUUUUAAACUUAUUCCAACUUGCUCCAACCCUUGGGGUAAAUAUGAGUUAAAAAUCAAAACUCAUUUUUGGGGCAAAUUUAGCCCAGGAUUAGUGGGGCUGACCCACUAUAUAUUUAUAUUUUUUUUAGUUUUAUAUUUAUAAAUUCAUUGAAUCCAACGGUUAAGAUCUAAUUUGAUGAAAUUCAAUGGUAAAAAAAAAUAUUUAACGGUCCAAGUUUAAAUUUAAUGGCUAAAGUAAUUUAAAAAAAAAUUCUUUUAUGUGUUUCAUAUUUUUUUCAUAGUGUUUAACAAGUUUUAUGAUGUCGGUUAGUGAUUUUUCAAUAUUUGUUAGAAUCUAAAUAUUUUUAGGUUAAAAUGUUCAUAAAAUUAAAUUAGGAUAGUCUACAUACUUUUUUUUCUUUUAAAAAAGUUAGUUUAAGAAAAAAAUUAGCCUAAAUUCAUUUUUUAAUAUGAGACUAAAUUUUUAAUUCAAAAUGAUUUGAGCAAAAAAACUGUUUUUGGGUUAAAACCUAAAAUUUUAUGGACUAAAAAUUUUAAGUUUUAACCCAAGGAUUGAAGAUGGUCUAAGGAAAAAAUAUGCCAUGAUGAUAUUACUGGACAUUGUUUUGACCUUAACUAACAAAUUUUGUUCGAGAAGUUGAAAACAGUGUUUAGCUAGAUCGAUUUUCAUUUCCCUCCAUAAAAUGUGGCAUUGAUUAUUGAUUAGACUGCUUGACUACAUUAUUGAUCAUUUUUAGGGACAAGGAUUGUCUACCCUCUUAUUUUUUGUGCCCUUCCAUGCCCUCCUGUUUUGUGUGGUCACGGUUAAGCCACGUUAACGUUUUAUAUUGUUUUUUUAUAGAGAUAAUAAUUAAGACAAAAAUGAAUAGUAAUAUAAAAUGUUGACGUGGCUUAACCGUGACCACACAAACAGGAGGGCAUGGGAGGGCACCAAAAAUAGGAGGGCAGACAAUCCUUGUCCCAUUUUUAGUGCUUUGAAGUAGGGCUGGGUGCAGUUGAAAAACCGUGCCAAAUUCCUUGUGCCACAUAUCAGCCACAUAUACAUAAUUACAAAAAAUCAAUUACCGCUAGCUAACCGUCUUUUUGCUGUUGCCAAAAAUCGGUUUAGCCAAAAUUAUUGUCUGGUUCGGUUGGUAAAUGGCACAACCGGUGGUUUCCACUUCUUCCUCACUAUCUUCUAGUUACAGAGGCUCAUUUUGAUUUUCAGAUUGGGGUGCUUGUUCUAUUGCAUUGUGUGGUUCAUUUUGGGUUAAUCCAUGUUGUGCACUAGCGGUUGAUUGGCUAGACUCCAUCAUCCUAAACAUAAGCAACACAUAUACAUUCAAAAUCAUAUAUAUGUACAUGUAUAUAUAGUAUCAGUAAUCAUCAUGCUAUCAAUUUUGUUAACAAUAUUUUCUAUAUUUAUUAUGGCAUGAAUCAUAUACAUAUACAUAUAUUUUUUAAACCCUAAAACUAAGGAGUCAACAGUCAAGCAUGUAAAAAAUAACUAAAAUAUCUAAAUAGAAAGGAAAAUAUAUAUAUAUAUAUAUUGGUAGGUAUGGCAUACCGCCGGCAUACAAAAUCAAUUACCAAAGCCAUGCCAUUAAUUGUCGGUUUGGUAAAAUGCCAACCGAUUAUAAAAAAAUGCCAAAACUAUAUACCAUACCAUUAUGAGCCAACCGGUAUGGUUCGGUCGGUAAAUCCGUUUAUGGCAAAAUUUUCCACCCCUACUUUGAAGUAUGCCAAAAAUCUAGAAUACGUAUUUUACUAUACAAUUAUCAAAUGAGACGGCCUAUGCGAAGGAAUUUAAGGUUCUACUAUAAAUUUAAUUGGCAAAAUGAAGAGUAGCAUAAUUUGUUUAUAAGUUCAUACAAAGUCCUUUUAUUAAUGUGAGAUUUAUUCUCAAUACCAUACAUUAUGGAUACAAGUCACACAUACCCCCCGACCCGUCCUCAUAUUAUACCUUCAUAACAUAUAAUAAAAAAAUACUAAUUAAAAAAAUCUCAUAUUAUUCUCCAUCAAUUAAUGUUAUAGGAGUGAUGAUUCUUGUCGGAUUCUCUUUGUGACAAUUUUGGGAAUCUUCAAAUCACAUAUGUUCAUCAUACAUCAUGAGGUCAAAAAUUAUUGUAAUUUUUUUAUUUAAAAUUGAAUAUAAACAAUAUCUAACAAAAACUAGUUGCACGAUGUACGAUUAACGGAUGUGAUUGAAAAAUUCCCGAAAUUCUCUCAAUGAGUAUCAAGAAAUAAUCCUCUCUCAUGUUAUAGUUCGUGAAUAUAUUAUUAUAUAUUAUUGUUUUAUUUUUUAUUUUUAGUUUUCUUAAGUCACGGGUGUCUCCCUUCUUAGGGUGCAUUAUUAUUAUUUAAUCAAAUAUCCAUAUUAUAAAACAAAAAAUAAUAAUAUUAUAAGUUGAUGGGACCAUCCUACAAAAAUUAUAUAUUUUAGCUAGAACACAUAAUAAAAAAUAAUCUGCGAUGAUCUCUUUGUAAUUUAGUUAUUCCUAAGAAAUACAUGAUCAAUCACUUUUAAAUUUGCUAUUAAAAGUAAAAAUUAAAAUCUACAGGUUAAGUGAUCAUCAAUUUUUAAUCACCAAGCAACUAGAAAAUCAACAUAAGCUCCUAAGUUUGAUUGUAUUUCUUUUGUUCAUGUUUUUACAUAAGACAGUUUUGUGGCAGAGAUAAAUUAACAGAUUUAGAGCAUAAUUAAGCAUCUUCAAAUCGUGUUUGGCUUGAUUUUAUUCCUUAACACUUUAACUUUUCUAUAGGUUGUCCUAGACGCUUUUAUAUUUUAUUUUAUCUUACAAAACAAACAAACCAUAUCAUCAUCUUGGUGUAGGCUAGCUACGAAGCCUCCUCCUCCUCUAUGUUGACCCAAAAGGAAUGAACCAUGCGGUGACGAGAAAAAUAGCCCUCAUAGAUAUAAACAAACACAAACAUUUCCAGAGCUGUCGCCGGUCUUGGGUGCCAAGAUUAGCCAAUCUAGCGGCACAUUGCCUUACGUCGGUUGGUUUUUUGGAGAUGUGUGACUGUGUUUGGGUCGACCGGCCCCCAUCUUCGAUGAUUCAUGUUUUGAAUAAGGAUGGUUUCCCAUGUCUUCAUUGAGAGGUGGUGGCGAUGCUAGGGGUGAUGCGUCUUUGCUUGUAUCCUUUUCAUCUCUGUUCUUUUAGUUGUGCCUUGUUGGGUGUUUGCCUCCUUGUAGGCUUUCUUGUACCUUUUGGCUUCGGCCUUGGAAUGCAUUUCCUUGUUCCAAACAAAAAAAAAAAAAAAAAAAAAAAAAACACACACAAACAUCCAAACAAAGAACCAUAAGAAAAUAUCAUCCCAUUGAACCCAUCUAGAAGACUUCAACACAAAGUCCCCCCUCCCAACCUUUUUUAUUGGGUAAUGUCAAGGAAACUGAAUUUGUAGACAAAAUUUUAUAAAUUAAAAGGAAAACUAAUAAAAAUGGCUUGAUAAAUUUGAGUUUUAACGAUAAGAACAAGGGUAAAGUGAAUAGUACUAGAAUUGACUUUUUAGUUUUAAGAUGUGGUUUUUCGUUAAAGUGAACAGUACCGAGAGCUUUUCGUUAAAGUUUCCUAAGUUAAAUGAUAUGAAAGUUAAUAAUUAAAUUAUUACUUAAACGUUAAUAAACAUAUUCAUUUAUAUUAAUAACACAUCAUUUAAUUUGUAAAUUUUAUUUAUAAAUUUAAUUUCCUAUCGUUAUCGUUUUUAUUUUAUUAUUUUCCACAUAGCCUGCUUUUCUAGAAGAGCAAGUAAAUUCAAGAAUACUGUCACACCGUCUUAUUUUCUUACGUGACUUUCCGUCUAACAGUCUGCUCCUUUUAACCUUUUAUUUAUUUUUUAUUUUUAAUCCACUAUUUUUCUAUUUUCUUUUGUGACUUUCCAUCUAGAAGCCAAUAAGUCAUCCCUAUCAAAAGUUCAAAACUUAACCCACAAAAGGCUCAAAGAAUCCCAAUUUAAUAUAUGAAUAUGCUCACUUGUGAGCCUCUUAUAUAUAUUUGGGUACUUCUGGUUCUCUCUCUUCACAAACCACAACAAACCCAGCUCAGUAGAUCACUGUUGGACGUCCCAAAAAAUGGUUGCCCUAGUAACCCAGCAAAACCCAGCACCUCUAGGAGAAAAGGAAGAACAAUUCCAAGACCAAGAUCCCUACGAAGCUGAGGAAACCCUAUCUCUCUGCGAUCUCCCCAGACACAGUGACUCAGCUUGUUGGGAUGACUUCUCCAAAGACUACCAAAGCUCAUCGUUCGACCGCGACGAAGACAACUUCUUUGAGUUCUUCAGCGAGGAGUUCACCCCCUCGACGUACCCAGCAGAGAAGGACAUAAUCUUUUGUGGAAAACUCAUACCCUACAACAAAGAAGCACCAAAAUUUGCAGCAGAAAAAGGUCAUCAGAAGAUCAAGAGCCAAGAAACCGGAAGCAACGCGAGAAGCGUCAACUUUUCGAAGAAGAAAGGAUUUUUUAGGUCGUGGAGGUCUUACCACUUCCACAAGGUAACCAAACCCUCCAAAACGGCCAAGACUUCGAAGCCGGAAAGUCCCACACCGACAAGUUACAGAAAGUGUGAGGUGAAUAAAGUGUCUAUACUUUCCAAAACGCCGUCGAAGUCUAAGUGGUAUGUUUUGAUGUUUCAAAUGGCGAGGCUUCCGUCGGAGAUGGAGCUGAAAGACAUAAAAAACCGGCAGAGCCGGCGGAGCCCUUCGACAAUGUUUAGGUCCUUUGAUGAAGAGAGUGAUGAGAUUGCCGGGGCUAAGGGUACUAAGGGAAUUAAAAGUGAUGGUAAUAGUAGGACAAAGGGGUUGUGGGGGCUGUUGAGGGCGGCGGUGGGGUGUGGCAGCCCACAUGCAGACGCCGUUGUAAGGGAAGGCCUUCUUUAUUAGCUGGUGUCAGUUCGAGUUGCCGAAUUUUGAUUGGUGCUCAGCUCACACGUGCGGGAUUUCUUAGGUAGCCCAGAUUGACCUUGCAAUCUUAAUUUGUGGGAUGUUCAUUGUAUUAUACACAUGGGGAGGAUAGGAGAAUAUUAUGAGGAAGCAUAUAUAAGAUAGUGACUUAUAUAACCAAAUUUUCGCAAUAUUAGAAUCCUACAUUUUGUAAUUUUAUUUUUUUGUAAUUGGAUGAAUGAAUAUGACUAAUUGGAACCCCAUAACUAAGAGUAUGAUUAACAUUACAUUUAUUUUGUUGUCUAACAAUGGCAAUUGUGUAGGAGACGUAGAUCAUGGCAGUGUGUUCACCCUCCUGCACUCAAAUUUUGAAUUCCUAAUAUCUACAAAUUAGAGUAGUUUAAAAUAUGAGUAUUGUUUAAAAAUUGGUGAUUGACAUAAUUUGGCUGAAAUACUUGAUUCAAGGGUCAUGUAUAAUUUGGUGCCAUAUAAUGGGUGAGAUCCAAAGAGGAUCUAUUUCCCCCUUCAUUCAUCUUCUCAGGCAAAAGAAUACAGGGCUGAAGUACUUGUUCCGAACAAAUCGAGGAUCUCGUCGAGGAUUUAGCCCCACUGCAUGCUCUGACGCUGAAAAGAGGUUUAGCCCCAACCAGCUGGCUAUGAAGAUUCGAACCCAGACAUCAAAAAAGAAUUCCAAAGUCUUGCCCACCGAACCAACAUCUCAUAGUACCAAAGACAAAAUCUUCAUCGACCAAUUCUAAAAAUAUUAGGAGCUAAUCAGGCGGUUGGCGGAGUCUAGCGUCCAUCUAGAAAGAUUAUGUGGAUUUAAGUAAAUUUAUUAUACAUCGUAUAAAUAAGUUCUUAUUUAUACUUAAAAAGAUACAUAAUUGUAUUGGGAUACGUAAAUUGCAUAAUAUAAUGAACUAUAAAUUGCAAAGUAUUAAAAUAUAGGGAAUUGAUAUUAGCACUCUAAAAAUAUCAUUCAACACUCCAAACUUUCUAUAUUAAGAAAGAAAAAUACACUUGCGGGUGUAAAAUGAGAUUUUUGGAGUGCCAAUAACACUUCCCAAAAUAUAUUGAGAACAUGGGAAACAAUCGUAUAAUAAGUAAGAGUCACAACCUAGGCACCCUUGCUUAAUUCUCUGUAUAAGUGAGAGUAGCAACCUAGGCGGGCUACGCGAAUGCCUAAGCAAGUCUAGGCACCCUUUCUUAAUUUUUAAAACCCUAGGGAUUAAUCGGGGUGGUGAUCCACUGCCUAGCUCCUAAAUGGGGCCUAAGCAGCGCUAGGUAGGAAUUUUUAGAACAAUACCUUAUACCUCUAUAUGAACAGAGAUGAAGGAAAUAACAAUGUGUCUUGAUAAUUUUUUCUCUUGUUCCAUAGCUUGAUUGAAGGAUCUGGCUCUAAGUUAAUACUUUAAAAACAGACUUGAUGCCCUUUAAUUUAAAUUAAACAAUAUUUGCAAAUAACGCGUUAUGUGUGCCUAAAUACACAUAAAUACGUGAUUUAUUAUAAUAAUUUCAUAAUAAUUAUGUACCACAGAUUGGUAGUGGCAUUUCGUAUCGGCUUAUAAUUUAUAUAUGCCAAGUGCCGGCCUUCUUUUCCUUUUCUACUUUGCUUUUUUCUAGAACCAAAGACUGCAAGGCAAUACAUACAUACAUACAUAUACGAACUUAAGACAUCGUCCAGCAUUUGGCAUUUGGCAUUCGGAAGAAAAACACCGUUUUAAAAAGCAAUAGAAAAAGAUAUAAGAAGAAAUGUUUUCUCAUUAGCAAUGGGAGUUCACCUCUGCAUGUACGUUAAACAAAACUUUCCUCAUAACAUUACAAGCAAAGCAACAGCCUAUAUGUGUUUGUUGAUAUAGGGAACACUGACCUAAUAUGUCUGGUUCUGCAAUAAGAUAUCUAUAAGCUUAAAUGACUACAUCAAAACUGGAAAUGAUUACCAGAAGGAUCAAAAUUUGCUCGGCGAAUCUGAUGAGGGUUCAGGAAUUGGUCAUUUCAGAACGAUUUACGAUUCAGACUUUUCUUCUCUCCUCAUCUUUCCUUGUCUGUCACCAUUUAUAGACGCAUUGGCUUUUCUUUUCUCCGAAUGUUUACCAUUGGCACCUGCCUUGUCAUUUUGAGGCUGCUUUCUUUUCUUUCCUUGGCUGCCGCCAUUAGUAGACGCGUUGGCCUUUCUUUUCUCCGAGUGUUUACCAUUGGCACCUUCAGUUACCUUGUCAUUUUGAGGCCGCUUUGUUUUCUUUUGUGUUUUCUUGUUGAUUUUCUCCGCUUCAGAGAACU